CAGCACCUCAAGUGGUCAGGAUGAUUAUUGGGCCUAAAGCAUCCGUAGCCGGCGCUGUAAGUUUUCGGUUAAAUCUGUACGCUCAACGUACAGGCUGCCGGGAAUACUGCAGCGCUAGGGAGUGGGAGAGGUAGACGGUACUCGGUAGGAAGGGGUAAAAUCCUUUGAUCUAUUGAUGACCACCUGUGGCGAAGGCGGUCUACCAGAACACGUCCGACGGUAAGGGAUGAAAGCUGGGGGAGCAAACCGGAUUAGAUACCCGCGUAGUCC
RNAcentral lists this ribosomal RNA (270 nucleotides) under uncultured archaeon. Its description in RNAcentral is "partial 16S ribosomal RNA". It matches the Rfam family "Archaeal small subunit ribosomal RNA", at positions 477 to 747 of the family's 1478-position model. The record is from RNAcentral.